UACGUAGGUGGCAAGCGUUGUCCGGAAUUACUGGGCGUAAAGGGCUCGUAGGCGGCCAACUAAGUCAGACGUGAAAUCCCUCGGCUUAACCGGGGAACUGCGUCUGAUACUGGAUGGCUUGAGGUUGGGAGAGGGAUGCGGAAUUCCAGGUGUAGCGGUGAAAUGCGUAGAUAUCUGGAGGAACACCGGUGGCGAAGGCGGCAUCCUGGACCAAUUCUGACGCUGAGGAGCGAAAGCCAGGGGAGCAAACGGG
RNAcentral lists this ribosomal RNA (253 nucleotides) under uncultured bacterium. RNAcentral's name for it is "partial 16S ribosomal RNA". It matches the Rfam family "Bacterial small subunit ribosomal RNA", at positions 524 to 776 of the family's 1533-position model. The record is from RNAcentral.